Molecule: long non-coding RNA, 3080 nt
Filed under: Phoenix dactylifera (date palm)
Lineage: Eukaryota; Viridiplantae; Streptophyta; Magnoliopsida; Arecales; Arecaceae
Description: long non-coding RNA (PDAC_LNC000781)
Source: RNAcentral
GGAGCAAGAAAUCGAUCCUCAUUCAAUAUGGCUAACGCAUUUGCAAGAAGUAGAAAACCCUCAAGCAAUGUCCACAAUCCCAUCCCUGCAGAAUAUGUUUCUACUAUUUCAGUAAGGUAUAGGUUGUCUGAAUUAAAUAAAAGGUGCAAAUCACAUUAAUUCAACCAACUUGUUGAACAAUUGUCCGAGCUUCUUGAGUUUCUUUAAAUUGCAAAACAACCUUGGAAGCAAAAGCACAGUAAACAAAAGACAGUUGAACAUAUCAUCUCACCAGAUGGCUGGCUUAAUUAGAUAAUAUUACUCUUCUCAAAGUUUGAAGAUUUCAUGGAUUCUUUUGGAGAAAAUAGGAAAAUACAAACAUAGCACAGUGGCAUGCAGAGGAGCUUCCAGAUAUCAAAGAUGUACCCAUAAUAAAUUUACUUUCUUAGCAUUUUGGUACCACCUUCAACAUAGUUGGAGAAGAUAAACAGCAUGUCCUAUAAAAAUGGAUAAAAUCUAACCUACCAAUAAUCUGAAAGGAGAGAUGAUAUGUCCAACUGUAAUGAGAAUCCACUAACAUGGUCCACGAUAAAAUGUAGAUAAUCCAACACCAUCAAAAAGGGGGAAGUAAAAUUAAAUCCAAAUUGUGCGAAGAAACCUGAGGAUGCCAAAAGUUACCACAAGGCACAAAGGCAUAACCAUAGCAACAGAAGCAUAAGGCACAAACCAGGCCUCAAUAAAGAAGAUACCAGAAUCAGAAAUACAACACCCUUCCUACCCCCUUGAACUCUCGCCAUGAGAACAGCCAAGCAACAGAAAGCUGGCAUUCCUUAGCCCUUUUUCCAACUUCUUUGCCAUUGUCAAGGCACAUAAACUCCAGGCGGAAGAUCCAGUUUAUUCCUACUGCCCUGAUUGUCAAUCAGAAGUGCAUGAGGAUAUCUUCUGAUUAUUCUAGUGGGCUAAAACCAAAAUCACAGAACACAAAGGCAAGUCCACAUUUUGGUUGGGGAGGAAAAGACCUACAAAAAUAACAGUGCACGCAGUCUUCUCAUUCCUAGUAAAGAAAAGGAAAAGAAAGCUUGAACCUCACACCAAUAUCCUGAAAUUUCUAGCAAGUGAAAACAACGCACUGUGUCAAAGCCCACAAAUGCUUAAACUUCAUUGAAUUUAGUUAAGAAAUAGCCAAUAGCAUCCCCUGUCAGCAACUUAAGUCUACCCAGGUUUCAUAGUAAACUCAUUUUAUCUGUUUUAUUUCCAAAGUCUUGAAUGUCCCCGAUACUAAACAAUUUAACUUCCACUGAAAGCUUCACUUAAUUCAGUUUCCUAUCAGGUUCUAUGAAAUUCCUCCUCAAUAUGCAACAUCGCACUGUCCUUCGAUUUCCAAAGCCCAAACAGCCACAUCUUAAUGGGAAAUAUGAAAACCAUCUAGAAUUGGAACACCAAGUCAUCCUUAGAAAAGAUGCUCUCAGAGAUGCCAGGCUCAUGGAUUGCACCCUUGGACAAUGCAAAAGGUAUGCAAAUAGGGUGUUUAGUGAGACAUCUUAUGAAAAAAAAGAAUCCCAAGCUUGCAGAGAAUAGCCUUAGGAGAAAGAACUUAAAACUUCCAUUCAAAUUUGAUGAGCAGAAUUAGGGCAAGCAUCUCAAAUUCUAUAUAUUUUAUAUCUUGUUGGCUAGCCACCAGAAUCAUUUUUAGCAAUGUUAAUUCAUGUUUCUUUACAAUCUCAAACCAACAAACUUUGAGCUUCACUUUUGUAAAGAACAAUCUAAUAAAUCAAAUAAAUUUCAUUACCUUCUAAGUUGCCUCCAUUGACCUUAGGAUUGAUCCUGUUUACCAACUUGCCCAAGACUGUAAUUGUUGACUGAACAUUGCCUUAGGAUGCGUUUCCACUUUAUUCCCAGUUUUUGACAUUUCUGUCCCAUAAGCUUUUCAUUGAACUCAAUUUUAUAUGCAUCAUUAUUUUAUUGAGUAAACCAAUAUAUAAAACCAAAUUAUGGAGGACUAAGAGGAACUACAUUUAUGAUAACACAACCUCCCAGCGAAAUGUAAAAAAUCUCAAACAUAGCUUCAGUAGAAGUGUAUUCUGUCACACAGAACGACAUAACUAGAAAACUCAUAGGCAUCUCAGUUAGAACUUGCUAGCAACACAAAUUAAGAAUGAGAUAAAGAGCGCCAUCUUCACUAUCUGCCCCAAUGUAGUCCUAUCUUCAAACCUGAUACCAAGUUGAAUCUGUAUUUUUAACAAAGAGGAGAUCCAAACAGCUUUUAUUUCAAACUAAAUCUGCCCCACUAAAAAUAAUAGUAGGAUAUCUUUAAAAGUUGAAAUUUUGAACGUAGGAACAAGAAUUUCAUAUUAUCCUUACAUACCAAGAGAUACUAGCUAUCACGCUUAUUUUACAUCAAAAACCCUAACUUUCUUCAACUAUAGUUGUAAACCACGAACCCUAUAGUCAAAAAAUCCUCCAUAUUACGGGACCAAUCAAAUCUCUUCAUCUAUUUCAAAACAAAAGAAGGUGAAGACUAGGAAGCAUUGAUGCGAAGCUGAGAUCUAAUCGUCGUAUAGAAGAAACGAAAACCCUAGGCCUCUCGAUCGAUUCCAUGAUAGAGGAAAAGAGGCAGAAGAGACGAAAAGGGACUAGAUUCCAUCGGCGAAGCGUACCUUUAGAGAAGUAGAGAGGAGAGCAGCGGGGCCGCUACCAGAGAUUUACCGGGGCGCUGCUUCGACUCCGCCUGUUCACUUCGUCGGUAGUCGGAUCGGAGGAGCGUUCUUGGAACGAAAGCCGAGUUAUUCAACUGAGCUAAUUUCAAAGGCCCAGCGUUUUUUUAUGCGAAAGAAUACUUUUAAUACUCUUUCAUAUGUCUGACCCAAAUUGGUCGAGAUUCGCCCAUCCGGCAUUGCGAUACCAUUCAACCCAUUUAAUUUGUUUCGUCCGCUGUGGAUCGAGUUAGAUUAUUUAUUUAGUAAAAUGGUAGAUUCAAAUUUUAAUUUUUAAUUUAUUUAAUAAAUAAAUCAAGUUUGGAUAAAUAGUUUUUUUGAGCUAUUCUGUAUCUGACUUGAUUUGUAUCUUAUCCGAUCCAACCAAAUUGUCAUCCCUACUCCAGC